RNAcentral lists this transfer RNA (82 nucleotides) under Thorea hispida. RNAcentral's name for it is "tRNA-Tyr". It matches the Rfam family "tRNA". Rfam says of the family: Transfer RNA (tRNA) molecules are approximately 80 nucleotides in length. Their secondary structure includes four short double-helical elements and three loops (D, anti-codon, and T loops). The record is from RNAcentral. Lineage: Eukaryota; Rhodophyta; Florideophyceae; Thoreales; Thoreaceae.
GGGUCGGUGCCCGAGUGGUUAAUGGGGACGGACUGUAAAUCCGUUGGUUAAACCUACGUUGGUUCAAAUCCAACCCGGCCCA